GAUGAACGCUGGCGGCGUGCCUAAUACAUGCAAGUCGAGCGAACAGACGAGGAGCUUGCUCCUCUGACGUUAGCGGCGGACGGGUGAGUAACACGUGGAUAACCUACCUAUAAGACUGGGAUAACUUCGGGAAACCGGAGCUAAUACCGGAUCAUAUAUUGAACCGCAUGGUUCAAUAGUGAAAGACGGUUUUGCUGUCACUUAUAGAUGGAUCCGCGCCGCAUUAGCUAGUUGGUAAGGUAACAGCUUACCAAGGCAACGAUGCGUAGCCGACCUGAGAGGGUGAUCGGCCACACUGGAACUGAGACACGGUCCAGACUCCUACGGGAGGCAGCAGUAGGGAAUCUUCCGCAAUGGGCGAAAGCCUGACGGAGCAACGCCGCGUGAGUGAUGAAGGUCUUCGGAUCGUAAAACUCUGUUAUUAGGGAAGAACAAAUGUGUAAGUAACUAUGCACGUCUUGACGGUACCUAAUCAGAAAGCCACGGCUAACUACGUG
Molecule: ribosomal RNA, 497 nt
Filed under: uncultured bacterium
Lineage: Bacteria
Description: partial 16S ribosomal RNA
Rfam family: Bacterial small subunit ribosomal RNA
Source: RNAcentral